GACGAACGCUGGCGGCGUGCCUAAUACAUGCAAGUAGAGCGCACAGUUUAUACCGUAACUUGCUACACCAUAGACUGUGAGUUGCGAACGGGUGAGUAACGCGUAGGUAACCUGCCUGGUAGCGGGGGAUAACUAUUGGAAACGAUAGCUAAUGCCGCAUAAUAUUGAUUAUUGCAUGAUAAUUGAUUGAAAGAUGCUAUUGCAUCACUACCAGAUGGACCUGCGUUGUAUUAGCUAGUAGGUGAGGUAACGGCUCACCUAGGCGACGAUACAUAGCCGACCUGAGAGGGUGAUCGGCCACACUGGGACUGAGACACGGCCCAGACUCCUACGGGAGGCAGCAGUAGGGAAUCUUCGGCAAUGGACGAAAGUCUGACCGAGCAACGCCGCGUGAGUGAAGAAGGUUUUCGGAUCGUAAAGCUCUGUUGUAAGAGAAGAACGGGUGUGAGAGUGGAAAGUUCACACUGUGACGGUAUCUUACCAGAAAGGGACGGCUAACUACGUG
Molecule: ribosomal RNA, 505 nt
Filed under: uncultured bacterium
Lineage: Bacteria
Description: partial 16S ribosomal RNA
Rfam family: Bacterial small subunit ribosomal RNA
Source: RNAcentral